GGCAGGCAUCAGGAUUCGUGGAGCCCCGGGCAGGCCGGGGGAGGCAGCGGCUCUGGUGGAGCCCCUGGUGGGCCGGGCCGGGCCAAGCCGAGCCGAGACGGGGGAGGCACCGCGCCACCGAGCAGCCCCGACGGUGACCCCGGAGUGCGGCGGUGUCGCCGCACGCUGUCGAACAGCGGGUUAAGUGUCAGAAAAGCAAUCCUGCUCCUCGACUUUUCCAGGUUCGCCGACCUCAAAUUACGCUCAUGUUGGAAGGGAAAUUUGUUGCGGUGCAGGACCGAGCCUAGGAGGGACAAGGCCCCGCCUCCGGGACUCCCUCACGGCAUUCUCACCCAGCUGUGUUUCCAACUCAGUCCUUUUCCAAAGGAAGCCUGGUCAGGAGCACCAACACCUUCUAAUGCUUGGAAACCUGGGGCCAUCCUAGCACUGUGCAAGUACAAAUGACCUUCUUUGUACUCAUUAAACCUUGGCUUAGUGGGCUGUGAGCUGAGAAUAAGGAGGCUGCAUUCUUGCAGCAAGGAAGACUGGUGGUAUCCAGACUGCCCAAACAGCAGGCAGCACAAGCAGCAGAUUGAGUGCAGGAUUUAUCAGACUCUGCUUGGCACUCACUAGACCUUAUCAGAAAUCCUAUAUUCAAUUGUGGGACCUUUAUACAAGAUGCUGGCAAACUGGACAAAGUUCAGAGGGGGGGCACUGAGAUGGUUGGUGACAAUCUGCAAGAAGGAGCUGCAGGGCUGAGGCUUUUUGAGCCUGAGGCAGAUAGCUUCAAGGGCAGUUAACUGCAUCCUCCAGUAUCCCAUAGGGAAUGGAUGGAAAAGACGGAAGUGGGUUUACCACAGCAGACCAUAGCAGGAAGGCAAGAGACAAAAGAUCAACUGAAACAGGAAAUUCCUGAGGAUAUUAGGAACAACUUUUUUCCCCCUGAAGGUAAGUCAAGAGUCAGAGCAGGUUACAGAGAGAGGUUGUGCAGUCCACCCUUGGAGAUUCUUAAGACAAUCUGGUGCGAUCUCACGUCUGACCCUCCUUCAAGCAAGAGAUUGGACCAGAGACCUCCGUACAUCCUUUCCAGCCUGAAAGACUCAGUGCUGCUACAGAAGUCAUUAGUUCGGUUUCUGAGGUUUGUAAGCUGACUCUCAAUAGCCUGUAUACAAGGAUGAAGUUCCAAGCUCCACUUAUUGGUCUAGUUUCCUGUGAUAGGGCAAUAUAUGCCUCUUUUUUUUAAUUAAUUACAAUUAUCUGUGUUACCUGUUUCUGCUAUGUCAUCCUUACACAUUUCAUCUGACAUAGAAUACUUAGAAACAUUUUCAAAUAAUUAACUGGAUCAGUAUAUGCAAAAUUCAGGAAUAUUUGUGCACCUGUGAAUACAAGUAACCUGAAAUCUGGUUAGAAAAAGUUCAGAAGACAUUAGUGGAAGAGCUGUUACACAAAAAAAAUACAAACUUGAUGAUUAUUAUCAAGUAUAUUCCUAAAUUCUGCCUAUGAAAGUUAUGUUAAAUUUCAGAAUUCCAACUCCACACUAGCUAUAAAGUCAAGCUGGCUAACUGUUGACAUUAAAUCAAUACUUAAAUGUAAUGAUAAUAUGCUUUUUAAAAACCCAAAAAAUGGACAGUGUAAGCAAUCUAGCCCUGUCUUAAUGACUAAUGACAGAUGUCUCUCAUCCUCCAAUUUUGGUGAGUACCAAGUAUGCAAAGAUUUGUACAGACAGCAAUCUAGGUUUAACAGUGAUACAUAUCUGAGGUAGCAAAUGCAAACUAUGAUACUGAGAAACAAGAAAAAGACCAAGCUGGAUGGAGCUCUGAGUGACAUGGUCUAGUGGGAGGUUCCCUGCCUAUGACAAGGGGGGUGGAACUGGAUGAUUUUUUAGGUCCCUUCCAAUCCAAACCAUUCUAUGUUUUAUUAGAAGAGUUCAAAAAUCAUAAAUCAUACCUUAAAAUAGAUUAAACUUACUUUAAAUGUGUAAUCUUAAAAAUCUGUAUAACUGUCACGCCUUUGCUAUAUUCUCUGCAAGUGCAUAUCACCGUCAAGGGUGGGUUUGCAGGUUCUUCUUCAGCUGUAAGGGAAACCUGUUUCUAUUUUUUUAACACGGAAGAUGAGCAUACUAUGUAGUUGAUUUCAAGAACUGGAACUUCAAAAAGAAGACAGAACAUUGAAUGUGAAAUUAGAGUUAGGAGCAAAUUCCUGUACCUUGAUUAGAAGUAGUCACACAAUAUGAACAGGGAUCAUAAAGAUCUCCAAAUAUAUUGUGCAUUAAAUGAAACAGAAAAAAAUAGAUAUGCUAUGUGACUGACUUCUUGUAGGAUUGUUUUCUACACACAAAUUGGAACUUCUAAAUGUGUCAGCAUGUGGUCAUCUGGCUCCAACAGCAGGCACAAGAGGUACUACCAAAAACUGAGGAAGAGGUACUACCAAAAACUGUCUAUUUUUAUAAUACCAGCAGAGAAAUAAUCAAAUGUCUUAAUUCUGCUAGGAAAUGAUGACUGAUUAAAAACAUGGUUAUAUAUCCUUCUC
Melospiza melodia melodia is the source of this 2508-nucleotide long non-coding RNA. RefSeq lists it as uncharacterized. The record is from RefSeq and is a predicted model, not a curated record. Lineage: Eukaryota; Metazoa; Chordata; Aves; Passeriformes; Passerellidae. The transcript has 2 exons.